CACCACCACCACAUCACCACAUCACUACUACAUACUACCAUCACCAUCACACUGCUGCCAUCGUCAUCACCAUCACUAUCAGCUCCUACUCUACCACCAUGAUCAGUCAGCUACGCCGUAUGGUCACGAGUCCGGCGUUACCGACGCGGUUCUUGCAGCCGUGCACAGUAUAAAACUGGAGCGACAUUAAAAUAUGCCGAAUGUUGGAAACCGUUGCGGAGAGUCGCUCCAACACUUUUAAACAUAUCGGAGCGGUCGCCAUGCUACUCAUCACGCUGUAUUUUAUCGUGGCGAUCUCGAUCGCUGUCGCGAUAAGUCGCAUUCCAAAAUAAUACAUCAAACGAUUUCGGGAUUCUCGUUGUCGGCAUGUUUUCAGAUUGCCCUCGGAGCAAACUCGGCUCUCGGCUGCUGUCGUUCUCCCCUUCUCUCUCAAAAUCGAUAAACUAUGAUACUUAUUGCGUUAUGGCCAUUACGGGCCAUCGGGACUGGAUCAAGGGCAUGGUUCUACAACUGGAAGAUGGGGGGGGGGAGGGGAAGGGGAAUUAUCGUUGCACGCGUGUGUAGGCGAUUUUAGAGUUUACAUUCCCUUUUGCCUACUUUGUGUAAAGUACGUUAACCAAUCUCUCUCUCGCUCCCUCGCUCCCUCUUUUUCGUACGCGCAACACGCGCGCGCACACGCACACACCUUUAGCACGCGCCGCUUUGAAGUACGCGGGGGCGAAGUCACAGGACAGCUUCGCGAGCUAAACGUUUAUCGAAUGAAACGAGAUAUCAAACAUAAAUUUAAAUUCUAUAUCGGGACACUCGUAAUCGGG
This is a long non-coding RNA of Acromyrmex echinatior (Panamanian leafcutter ant), 815 nucleotides long. Lineage: Eukaryota; Metazoa; Arthropoda; Insecta; Hymenoptera; Formicidae. The record is from RefSeq and is a predicted model, not a curated record.